Molecule: ribosomal RNA, 505 nt
Filed under: uncultured bacterium
Lineage: Bacteria
Description: partial 16S ribosomal RNA
Rfam family: Bacterial small subunit ribosomal RNA
Source: RNAcentral
GACGAACGCUGGCGGCGUGCCUAAUACAUGCAAGUAGAACGCACAGUUUAUACCGUAGCUUGCUACACCAUAGACUGUGAGUUGCGAACGGGUGAGUAACGCGUAGGUAACCUGCCUGGUAGCGGGGGAUAACUAUUGGAAACGAUAGCUAAUACCGCAUAAUAUUGAUUAUUGCAUGAUAAUUGAUUGAAAGAUGCUAUUGCAUCACUACCAGAUGGACCUGCGUUGUAUUAGCUAGUAGGUGAGGUAACGGCUCACCUAGGCGAAGAUACAUAGCCGACCUGGGAGGGUGAUCGGCCACACUGGGACUGAGACACGGCCCAGACUCCUACGGGAGGCAGCAGUAGGGAAUCUUCGGCAAUGGACGAAAGUCUGACCGAGCAAAGCCGCGUGAGUGAAGAAGGGUUUCGGAUCGUAAAGCUCUGUUGUAAGAGAAGAACGGGUGUGAGAGUGGAAAGUUCACACUGUGACGGUAUCUUACCAGAAAGGGACGGCUAACUACGUG